RNAcentral lists this ribosomal RNA (253 nucleotides) under uncultured bacterium. RNAcentral describes it as "partial 16S ribosomal RNA". It matches the Rfam family "Bacterial small subunit ribosomal RNA", at positions 524 to 776 of the family's 1533-position model. The record is from RNAcentral.
UACGUAGGGCGCAAGCGUUGUCCGGAAUUAUUGGGCGUAAAGAGCUCGUAGGCGGCUUGUCACGUCGGAUGUGAAAGCCCGGGGCUUAACCCCGGGUCUGCAUUCGAUACGGGCUAGCUAGAGUGUGGUAGGGGAGAUCGGAAUUCCUGGUGUAGCGGUGAAAUGCGCAGAUAUCAGGAGGAACACCGGUGGCGAAGGCGGAUCUCUGGGCCAUUACUGACGCUGAGGAGCGAAAGCGUGGGUAGCAAACAGG